Molecule: ribosomal RNA, 301 nt
Filed under: uncultured bacterium
Lineage: Bacteria
Description: partial 16S ribosomal RNA
Rfam family: Bacterial small subunit ribosomal RNA
Source: RNAcentral
CAGUCGCCACGGGAAUACAGAGGGUGCGAGCGUUAAUCGGAUUUACUGGGCGUAAAGCGUGCGUAGGCGGCUUCUUAAGUCGGAUGUGAAAUCCCUGAGCUUAACUUAGGAAUUGCAUUCGAUACUGGGAAGCUAGAGUAUGGGAGAGGACGGUAGAAUUCCAGGUGUAGCGGUGAAAUGCGUAGAGAUCUGGAGGAAUACCGAUGGCGAAGGCAGCCAUCUGGCCUAAUACUGACGCUGAGGUACGAAAGCAUGGGGAGCAAACAGGAUUAGAUACCCCUGUAGUCCCUGUCUCUUAUAC